UACGGAAGGCAGCAGUGGGGAAUAUUGCACAAUGGGCGCAAGCCUGAUGCAGCCAUGCCGCGUGUAUGAAGAAGGGCCUUCGGGUUGUAAAGUACUUUCAGUCGUGAGGAAGGUGUUAAGGUUAAUAACCUUAGCAAUUGACGUUAGCGACAGAAGAAGCACCGGCUAACUCCGUGCCAGCAGCCGCGGUAAUACGGAGGGUGCGAGCGUUAAUCGGAAUUACUGGGCGUAAAGGGCACGCAGGCGGUUAAUUAAGUUGGAUGUGAAAUCCCCGGGCUUAACCUGGGAAUGGCAUUCAAGACUGGUUAGCUAGAGUCUUGUAGAGGGGGUAGAAUUCCGAUGUGUAGCGGUGAAAUGCGUAGAGAUGUGGAGGAAUACCGGUGGCGAAGGCGGCCCCUGGGACAAAGACUGACGCUCAUGUGCGAAAGCGUGGGGAGCAAACAGGAUUAGAUACC
This 455-nucleotide ribosomal RNA is filed under the name uncultured bacterium. RNAcentral describes it as "bacterial SSU rRNA". It matches the Rfam family "Bacterial small subunit ribosomal RNA", at positions 340 to 786 of the family's 1533-position model. The record is from RNAcentral.